Molecule: long non-coding RNA, 1907 nt
Organism: Carassius auratus (goldfish)
Lineage: Eukaryota; Metazoa; Chordata; Actinopteri; Cypriniformes; Cyprinidae
Exons: 2
Source: RefSeq, a predicted model, not a curated record
AUAAGUCACAGACACGUGGCUCUUCUCUGGCUGGUGCGCUGCUGAGUCUAAACGGAACCACUGUAUAGGACAUUUCUGAUUAUCGCAAGCAAACAUGUCAUCAAGCUCUUCAGGCUGUCUGCAAAAUCACCACAACACAGAUUUUUCACAUGCCCUUCUUUUGGGCUGGAGAGUGUUACCUUGACCAGUAGCUCUGCUCGUAAGGAUCGAGUCCUUUGAUUCUCUUUAUUUUCUCGUCAUAUCUCAUCUUUGUUUUAGGCGGUAUGCUCCGACAAUGUUUUCUUUAGCCCGCUGCAUUUUGCAGGAUUAUAUUCAGUUUUUCACGCUAAUUUUCAUUAUUUUCAUGCCAGAACACAUAAGCCUCCUAUGCCAGACCAUGUUAACUGGCCAAACGUACCCAUAAUUCUUUGCGUUCUGAUGACGUUGCCGCCCAGUUGGUCACACGUCUUAGCGAUCUCCGAAUGAACUCGUCUGAAAGAAGAAAGUCGUAUACACCUAGGAUGCUUCGAGGUGGAACAGGAAAGAGUUUGUCAGCAAAAUCCCAGCUCCUGGAAAGGACUAGGUGGAUCCUGUGCUUGACCUCUCCUCAUGUGCGGCUCCAGACCUCACGGAGACCCCGGCUAAACUAGCGACCUCGAUUCCUCAGUUACAGUAAAAAUAGCAGCUUGUCAUGUGCUAUACAAAUACAUACCAAUUUAAUUUGAAAUGAUUAACACAUAAAAAAAAUAUAAUUCAAAUUAUUAUAAAAAUGUUAAUAUAUAUAUAUAUAUAUAUAUAUAUUAAUAAUUAAUAUUUUACAGUUUGUAACGUACACAUCAUAUUAACAAAAACAAAAGAAAUACUUCUAAUUGUGAGUUUAUAAUUUUGUAUGACUUCGGGUUAAUUCUGAACUAUUUUUCAGAAAUGUGGACAAUGUUCAAAGUCCAAAUGUUGACUCAAACUGUAUACACAUUUCAGGUAGGUUAUAUGUAAAUGUUGACUCAAUUUCUGUUUCACCCAAGUUAUAAGAAAAAAAAAAAGGUUUUUAUUGUACUUAAGAAUGCACAUUAUAGGAAAUUACAUUGUAACAACGUGUCUUAAUGUAACAUGUUAAAACUGCUCUAAAAAUACAAUAUAAAGUACAGUGAUUAUGGACAUACUGUAAUUGUGCCAAUUGUAGUUGCACAAAGCUAAAUUGCAUAAAUAACUGAAAACAUGUUUUUGGAAAUCUCUGAAAAAUAUAUUUGGUCUAAACACUGAUUUGCAAAAUAAAUAAAAUGCAACAAUAAUGCAUUUCAUACUAAAUCAGCUCAGUGUUGCUAAAGUAUUUCUGCUACAAACUACAAAAUUUCCUCUUUUCUGCAUCAAGGCUAACUGCAUAAAAUAGCUCAAAUAAGACAAAAGAAGAGCGUGUACUCCAACCAUCCAUAUAAACAGUCAGCAUUCAAUUCACAACAUUAAUCUAGACACUUAAUGUCCACUUAAGGUCACCGGCUGGUCAGUUUUUUUUUUUUUUUUUUUUUUACAAGUAUCUUAUCCUCCUCACAACAUUCUAAUGCUGCAUAUAUUAAAUAAAGCUAGCAUACACUUAAAGCAUCAACUUGACUCUGUUAUUUCUCCACAAAACGGUUAAGGCGACAGUUUCUCUCUUUGCCAAGGCAAAGUCCAAAGAAAAAGAGAUAACACACAAAGAACAAAUUCUGUCAUUGCUACAGGUUUGGAGAUAUCUCAUUAACAGAUUAAUGUUCCCAUGUUUGUAGGUUAUGCCACAAGCUGAUUCAUGUGAAUCUAGUGUUAUUCAUUUGUGAAUGUACCCUUAAUGAAUGUAGCUGUAGUGUGGAUGAGACAUGUCAACAUGUCAUGCUUAAAUAUAUUAUGGAAAUUCAUUACAAUAUGAGAUAAAAAAAAAAAAAAAACAUAUUUGAUGG